Molecule: long non-coding RNA, 1589 nt
Filed under: Mytilus galloprovincialis (Mediterranean mussel)
Lineage: Eukaryota; Metazoa; Mollusca; Bivalvia; Mytilida; Mytilidae
Source: RNAcentral
UCUGAAGUAACAUGUAGGUAUGUGUUUUAUUCUGCUAAUGUACAAUCUGUUAUGUUCUGAAGUAAUUUGUUGUUGUGUGUUUUAUAUUUCUUAUGUACAAUUUGUUCUGUUCUGAAUUAACUUGUGUGUUUUAUACUGCUGGUGUACAAUCUGUUAUGUUCUGAAGUAAUUUGUAGUUGUGUGUUUUAUAUUUCUUAUGUACAAUUUGUUCUGUUCUGAAGUAACUUGUGUGUUUUAUACUGCUGGUGUACAAUCUGUUAUGUUCUGAAGUAAUUUGUAGUUGUGUGUUUUAUACUGUUAAUAAAUACAAUCUGUUAUGUUCUCAAGUAGCUUGUAGCGGUGUGUUUUAUACUGCUGAUUGUGUACAAUCUGUUAUGUUCUGAUUUUAUACUGCUGAUGUACAAUCUGUUAUGUUCUCAAGUAACCUGUGAUUGGGUAAUUUAUACUGCUGAUGUACAAUCUGUUCUGUUCUGAAGUAACCUGUGAUUGGGUGUUUUAUACUGCUGGCAUACAAUCUGUUAUGUUCUGAAGUAACUUGUAGUUGUGUGUUUUAUACUGCUAAUGUACAAUCUGUUAUGUUCUAGAGUAACUUGUAGUUGUGUGUUUUAUACUGCUUAUGUACAAUAUGUUAUGUUCUGAAGUAACUUGAGUUGUGUGUGUUUUUACUGCUUAUGUACAAUUUGUUCAUGUUCUGAAGUAACUUGUAGUUGUGUGUUUUUUUUACUGCUUAUGUACAAUUUGUUCUGUUCUGAAGUAACUUGUAGUUGUGUGUUUUAUACUGCUGGUGUACAAUUUGUUCUGUUCUGAAGUAAUUUGUAGAACUUUGUUUGUUUUAUUCUGCUUAUGUACAAUCUGUUAUGUUCUGAAGCAACUUGUUUUUUUAUUUUUUAUACUUCUGUUAUUAUAGUUCUAAAGUAAAUUGUUGUCGUGUGUUUAUGUACAAUAUUCAACAUUUUGAAGUUACUUGUAGUUUUCACUGUUUCACUGUGCUUUAAUUUUAAGUAACAUGUAGUUUUGUGUCUUUUUUUGUUCAUGUACCAUAAAAGGCUGUAUCUUCAAAUGACUUUUCUAUGAAUUAUUAAAAUAAGGUAGUUUUGAAUGUGACUAUUUUACUUACAAAUCUUGAUAAUCAAUGUCUGCACCAUUCUGUAGGCUUAAUUUUAAGGCUUCUAUAUCUCCAUCCCUAGCAGCUGUAGUAAGUUUCUGUAAGUAUAACAUAGAAAUUACAUUUAAUCUUGAUAAUCAAUGUCUGCACCAUUCUGUAGACAUAAUUUUAAGGCUUCUAUAUCUCUAUUUCCAGCAGCUGUAGUAAGUUUCUGUAAGUAAACCAUAAUAAAAAUAUAUUGUAAUGAAUGUCCUUACUGUUAAAUUAGGUAAUAACUAUGUAUUCUUCUGUUUAGCAAUGACUACAUAAAUCAGUAGUAUCCUUCCUUCAAAUAACAGACAGAGAGGAAUUCUUUUAAUAGCAUAAAAUUGUUGGGAUUUAUGCAUUUUAUAUUAUCAAGAAAAACACCAAGAGUGCACACACUGAAAUGUCUCGCCUUCUUUACUAAUCAUUGAUAUUAUGUUGAUAGUCCUAAAUAAAAAGC